RNAcentral lists this non-coding RNA (561 nucleotides) under Pongo abelii (Sumatran orangutan). Lineage: Eukaryota; Metazoa; Chordata; Mammalia; Primates; Hominidae. The record is from RNAcentral.
ACCUGCCUGCAGAUACAAACCCCACUCCCUGCGAAGAUGGUGUACACGCAGCCCCGAGCACAGACCCGGAGCUGUCCACCCUUCUUGGGCGCCGUCGCGGUCUGGCCGCUGCCCUUCGAACCCAUGCCAUCUUGGAAUUACAUUUGGAAAGGUGGUUGUUAAACAUUUCCCAGCACACACCUGGAUCUGCAUCUGCUGUGUCAGUUGAACCACUCACUGGUUCUGUGACCUCAGUUCUUUGUAGACUCUGGAAUGGAGCUGGAAGCUGCAUCUUCAGCACACUAACGCAGGAACAGAAAACCAAACACUGCCUGUUCCCGCUUAGAAGUGGGAGCUGAACGAGGAGAACACAUGGACAUAUGAAGGGGAACAACACACUCUGGGGCCUGUGAGGUGCAGGGAGAGCAUCAAGAAGAACAGCUAAUGGGUGCUGGGCUUAAUACCUGGGUGAUGGGUUGAUGUGUGCGGCAAACCACCAUGGCACACAUUUACCUAUGUAACAAACCUGGACAUCCUGCACAUGUACCCCGGAACUUAAAAAUAAAAGUUGACAAAAAGAAA